AGCGAACGUUUGCGGCGGGCCUUACACAUGCAAGUCGAACGAGAAGCCUUCGGGUGGAAAGUGGCGCACGGGUGCGUAACACGUGGGUACCAACCCCCCAGUACGGGACAACAGAGGGAAACCUCUGCUAAUACCGUAUACGUCAGCAAUGGGAAAGACCCGCAAGGGUUGCUGGGGGACGGGCUCGCGGCCCAUCAGCUUGUUGGUGAGGUAAUGGCUCACCAAGGCGAAGACGGGUAGCUGGUCUGAGAGGAUGAUCAGCCACACUGGAACUGAGACACGGUCCAGACUCCUACGGGAGGCAGCAGUGGGGAAUAUUGCGCAAUGGGCGAAAGCCUGACGCAGCCACGCCGCGUGAGCGAUGAAGGCCCUCGGGUCGUAAAGCUCUGUGGGGAGAGAAGAAGAAAGCCAGUGAAGAGCUGGCCCUGACGGUAUCUCCUUAGCAAGCACCGGCUAACUCCG
Molecule: ribosomal RNA, 462 nt
Filed under: uncultured Plesiocystis sp.
Lineage: Bacteria; Pseudomonadati; Myxococcota; Nannocystales; Nannocystaceae
Description: bacterial SSU rRNA
Rfam family: Bacterial small subunit ribosomal RNA
Source: RNAcentral